Molecule: ribosomal RNA, 2638 nt
Filed under: Phycisphaerales bacterium
Lineage: Bacteria; Pseudomonadati; Planctomycetota; Phycisphaerae; Phycisphaerales
Description: bacterial LSU rRNA
Rfam family: Bacterial large subunit ribosomal RNA
Source: RNAcentral
CUAAGAGCGUAUGGUGGAUGCCUAGGCGUGCAGAGGCGAUGAAGGACGCGGUAGGCUGCGAUAAGCUCCGGGGAGUGGUCAAACAUGCUUUGAUCCGGAGAUCUCCGAAUGGGGCAACCCGGUUCCACUGAGCAAUCAGAUGGGAUCACCGGCGGCUGAAUGUAUAGGCCGUCUGGGGCGAACCCAGGGAACUGAAACAUCUCAGUACCUGGAGGAAAGGAAAUCAACCGAGACUCCGUGAGUAGCGGCGAGCGAAAGCGGAACAGCCCAUGAGUCGUUGCAAGCUCAGCCGAACGUUCUGGAAAGGGCGACCACAGUAGGUGACAGUCCUGUAGGCACACGGCGAGCGACGGCGAUUGAGUAGGUCGGAUGUCGUGGAACUCUGACUGAAGAUGCGGGGCCCACCCUGCAAGGCUAAGUACUCCUGCACGACCGAUAGUGAACGAGUAAGGCGACUGAAAGGUGAAAAGCACCCCUGCUAGGGGAGUCAAAAGCACCUGAAACCAUAUGCUUACAAGCUGUCGAAGGCCGAUUCCGGGCUUGCCCGGACGGCUAACGGCGUACCUCUUGGAUAAUGGACCGGCGACUUGUCGUAUGCGGCGAGGUUAAGUGCCUCCGGCACGCAGCCGAAGCGAAAGCGAGUCUGAAUAGGGCGAUUAGUCGCAUGCGACAGACCCGAAACCACGUGAUCUACCCAUGGCCAGGUUGAAGGGACGGUAAAACGUCCUGGAGGACCGAAGCCGUGAACGUUGAAAAGUUCUGGCAUGAGCUGUGGGGAGGAGUAAAAGUCUAAUCAAACGUGGAGAUAUCUGGUUCUCCCCGAAAUGUCUUUUGGGACAGCCUCGGGACAACUACACCGCGGGGGUAGAGCUACUGACUGAAACGGCGGGCCUUUCCGGCUACGCCCUUCAAUCAAACUCCGAAUACCGCGGUGACUAUCCCGGGAGUGAGAGUGUGGGCGCUAAUGUUCAUGCUCAAAAGGGAAAAAACCCGAACCGUCAGCUAAGGCCCCCAAGCCACGCUCAGUGCGUAAGGAAGUUCGUUUUCUGAGACAGCCAGGAUGUUGGCUUAGAAGCAGCCACCAUUUAAAAAGUGCGUAAUAGCUUACUGGNNAGUGAGAAUGCCGGUAUGAGUAACGAUAAAGCGGGUGAGAAUCCCGCUCGCCGUAAGCCCAAGGUUUCCUGGGCAAGGGAAAUCCGCCCAGGGUUAGUCGGACCCUUAGUCAAGGCCGAAAGGCGUAGACGAUGGUCAGCAGGUUAAUAUUCCUGCACUCCGUAUGCGGUUGAACCGACGGGGACGUCAGCCCCAAGUGUGGCCCACUACUAGAAUAGAGGGUACCCGCAAGGGCGAGGCCGCUUUGUUGCUGAAGCACAUGGCGGGCUGACCGAGAAAAUCCGUUCGGUGACAAAGUGCGGAUCCGUACCAAAACCGACACAGGUGGGCGAGGAGAGUAUCCUAACGGCGCUCGAGAGAACGGUCCUUAAGGAACUAGGCAAUUUGACCCCGUAACCUCGGAAAAAGGGGAGCCUCUCCGCCGCAAGGCGGAAGGCCGCAGAGAAUCGGCUCUGGGAACUGUUUAUCAAAAACACAGCUCUGUGCUAACUCGUAAAGAGGACGUAUACAGAGCGACGCGUGCUCGGUGCCGGAAGGUUAAGGAAGCCGGUCAGCCGCAAGGCGAAGCUGGCAACCGAAGCCCCGGUUAACGGCGGCCGUAACUAUGACGGUCCUAAGGUAGCGAAAUUCCUUGUCGGGUAAGUUCCGACGUGCAUGAACCGCGUAAUCACUGGAGCAGUGUCUCAAGGACCGACUCGGUGAAAUUGAAGUCGCGGUGAAGAUACCGUGUACCCGCAGCAAGACGGAAAGACCCCGUGAACCUUUACUGCAGCCUGGUAUUGGUAAUUGAUAUCGCAUGCGUAGGAUAGGUGGGAGGCGUUGAUCCGGCGGUUCCGGCCGUCGGGGAGCCAACGUUGAAAUACCACCCUUGUGCUAUUAGUUACCUCACCCCGUCCCGUGAAGCCGGGCGGGGGACAGUGCUAGGUGGGCAGUUUGACUGGGGCGGUCUCCUCCCAAAAAGUAACGGAGGAGUGCAAAGGUCGGCUCAGCACGGUUGGCAAUCGUGCGUGGAGCGCAAGGGCACAAGCCGGCUUAACUGUGAGAGAUAAAGCUCGAACAGAUGCGAAAGCAGGCCCUAGUGAUCCGGUGAUCCCGUGUGGAAGGGUCAUCGCUCAACUGAUAAAAGGUACUCCGGGGAUAACAGGCUGAUGACUACCGAGCGUCCAUAGCGGCGUAGUCGUUUGGCACCUCGAUGUCGGCCCAUCACAUCCUGGGGCUGUAGGCGGUCCCAAGGGUUCGGCUGUUCGCCGAUUAAAGUGGUACGCGAGCUGGGUUCAGACCGGCGUGAGCCAGGUCGGUCCCUAUCUGCCGUGGGCGCAGGAAUCUUGAUGGAAAUAUUUCCUUAGUACGAGAGGAUUAGGAAGUACUGACCGCUGGUGUACCGGCUGUCCUGCUAAGGGCACCGCCGGGUAGCUAUGUCGGGAAAGGAUAACCGCUGAAAGCANNGACCACCAGGUUGAUAGGCCGGGAGUGUACGGGCUGAGAGGCCCUCAGCUUACCGGUACUAACGGUCGAAGGCUUGACC